This 169-nucleotide non-coding RNA is filed under the name Picochlorum sp. RCC944. The record is from RNAcentral. Lineage: Eukaryota; Viridiplantae; Chlorophyta; Trebouxiophyceae.
UCGUUGAGAUAACGAUUUGUCGUCGUUUUCUUAACUUUUUUUUUUUCUUUUCAAACUUAAUUUCUUCCUUUCGUUUGGGUGGAGAGGAAAGGCGGGAAGGGGACAGAGACACAAACGAAGAGCGUAGACUUAAACUAGAGUAAAAAUGGGUUUCCUUGACAAGUUUUUU